RNAcentral lists this small RNA (106 nucleotides) under Marmota monax (woodchuck). The record is from RNAcentral. Lineage: Eukaryota; Metazoa; Chordata; Mammalia; Rodentia; Sciuridae.
GCCAGGUGCAAUGGCACACGCCUGUAAUCCCAGUGACUCGGGAGGCUGAGGCAGGAGGAUCAUAAAUUAGAGGUCACCUCAGCAACUUAGUGAGACCCUGUCUCAA